CCUACGGGUGGCAGCAGUAGGGAAUCUUUCACAAUGGGCGAAAGCCUGAUGGAGCAACGCCGCGUGCAGGAUGAAGGCCUUCGGGUUGUACACUGCUUUUAUAAGCGAGAAAUAUGAUGGUAACUUAUGAAUAAGGAUCGGCUAACUACGUGCCAGCAGCCGCGGUCAUACGUAGGAUCCGAGCAUUAUCCGGAGUGACUGGGUGUAAAGAGUUGCGUAGGUGGCAUAAUAAGUAGCUAGUGAAAUCUGGUGGCUCAACCAUUCAGACUAUUAGCUAAACUGUUAAGCUCGAGACCGUUAGGGGUAACUGGAAUUGCUAGUGUAGGAGUGAAAUCCGUAGAUAUUAGAAGGAACACCAAUAGCGUAGGCAGGUUGCUGGGACGGUUCUGACACUAAGGCACGAAAGCGUAGGGAGCAAACGGGAUUAGAUACCCGUGUAGUC
This 442-nucleotide ribosomal RNA is filed under the name uncultured bacterium. RNAcentral describes it as "partial 16S ribosomal RNA". It matches the Rfam family "Bacterial small subunit ribosomal RNA", at positions 338 to 795 of the family's 1533-position model. The record is from RNAcentral.